GAAACAAGCUGAAACCCAGAAGCAGAGAGUCCAGUACCAGUUGGAGCAGUUGUGCCAGUUUUUAGAGCAGCAAGAGCAGCUCUUUGUGACCUGGCUGGACGAGGUGGGCCAGACCAUUAACCACGUCAGGAAGACCUAUGGCACCCAAAUGACCAGGGACGUUGCUGUUCUCGAUGAGCUGAUUGGGGAGCUGGAGGCCAAGCAGUGCCAGCCAGAGUGGGAGCUUAUGAAAGGCCAAGAUGGUGACCGAUCCUGAGCUGUGGACCGCCCCCCCGGAGGUGAAAGAAAAGAUCCACCUGCUGUACCAGAGAUCAGAGUUUGUGGAGAGGAGCAUGAAGCACUUCUUGGAAACCCUGCGUUCAGGAAUGGACACGUUCAAUGUUCCGGAACUGAUUGGUGGUCAGGCACCCUGAGGCAACUGGCCCGCUGGGUCCCUGUGCUGUCCCCAGUGCACUCCAGAAGAAUGACCCUGACCAUAUUUCCUGAAUGUGGGGAGAACCCUGUGGGGAUGCAGUCCAUGGACCUCCAGCUAGGAAUUCUAAUUCUCUCCACAGUUGAUGUGAUUCUGGAAGCAGGAACUGCCCAUCCCAACCUCAUCUUUCAUCUGCUCUGACGAUGUGAAGAGUGUGAGACGUGCAAAAAAGCAGGACAGGUGGCCUGCGAAUCCAGAAAGAAUCCAGAGCUGAAUCAUGGCCCUGGGCUCUCCGAGCUUCCUCUCCAGGCACCAUUACUGGGAAGUGAAGGUGGGAGACAAGACAGGGUGGGUCCUGGGUGUCUGCAGGGCAUCCGGGAGCAGGAAGGAGAAUAUGACUCCGUCACCAGAGAAUGGCUUUUGAGGAGAGAGGAGGAGGAUGAUGCAAAAUGAGUACCAGGCGUCCACUGUUCCCUGGACCCAGAUGAGGGGCCCCAGGUGUGCAGGCAUCUUCCUGGACUGCAAGAUGCGGACAUUUCCUUUGACGAUGUGACAGCCUAAUCUCACAUCUACACAUUCACUGGCUUUUUUCCCUCUGGGCUCCUUCAACCUAUCUUCAGCCUCAAGACACAAUUGCGCGAAGAACAUGGAUCAUCUGAACAUCUUUCCAGUGAGUGGCAAGGGCCUCACUGAAUGCCCAACACCUUGCCUCUCUCUUCAGCCUCCUGGCCCUGUGUCUUGAAUUCAUACAUGCAGCAGUCAUAAUUGAACACCUACGGGGUUCCAGCUGCUGGGGGGGGGGUGAAAUGAAUAAGAGACUAUUCCUUGUGCCCAGGGACC
RNAcentral lists this long non-coding RNA (1252 nucleotides) under Sus scrofa (pig). RNAcentral's name for it is "lncRNA (ENSSSCG00050046799.1, ENSSSCG00060070194.1)". The record is from RNAcentral. Lineage: Eukaryota; Metazoa; Chordata; Mammalia; Artiodactyla; Suidae.